AUGAUCAGUCAUUUCAGAGCCACCGAAUCAAGCUGUAAAGAGAAGGAAGUUGUUGCUAGAAGCUUUACGAAGAGUGUUUCGGUUAGGGUGACCAGAUGUCCCGAUUUUAUAGGAACAGUCCCGAUAUUUGGGGCUUUUUUUUUAUAUGGGCUCCUAUUACCCCCCACCCCUGUCCCGAUUUUUCACACUUGCUAUCACCCUAGUUUCGGUAGCUUGCCAGUCCUGCUCCUGCUGAGGUCUGAGAAGAUUCUGGAGUGGCCAUACAGAACACACAAGUGUGCUGGUAAUUUUGAUGGGGGAGUUCAGGAGAUGGAGCGCAACGUGAUUCAAGACAAAAGAGUCUCCAUUCUGAUUACUGCUCCAUUGUGUGACAGAGCAAAACAUUUCAAUGUGGUUGAGACUGAAUUUGAGUCAAGAAAAUACAAGUUGCAGUCCCUUUUCUUUGGGAACAUUUUCUUCGUGGUUCAGCAGGACAUGGAGGCUGAUGGUGCAUGAAAACAUAUCACAUUGGCUUGCCUCCCCCACAAGCAGGCAGUUCUAGAAAAGAGUAAAAGGAUCCAACCAGUAAACAGAGACCUUAAAAACUGAGGCUAGAAAUGAGAAGGGAAUUUCCCUUUACAUUGUAAGGUUCUUUGAUGUUCUGAAGUUCCACUGAAAUGGUAACACUUCAAAACUUGGUAAGCAGGGAAGCACUAAUGGUGAAGUUCAGGAGCAGGCAGGGGACUGAGAGAAAAUUAGUUAUUGCUGAGUCUGCCCAAAAUGCAGAGAGAGAGACUAAACAAUAGAAAAACCCUCACUACGCUGUGGUGGGAAGUGAAGGGGUGUGUGUAUAUAAGACUGAGAGAGACAGUGAGAGAGACUAAGUGUUUCUUACGGUCCCUCAUCAAUUGGAGGAGGAUAGAAGAAAGGGUGACCAUAUGACACACGUGCCAGCCCUGCUCCCACAUUCCUGUCCUGAGGUUCCUCUUAAUAGGUAUAUAAGGUUUUGCACAUUUUGUACUGCAGAUCCAAGUAUGUAUGAAGAGCUUUUAAAACCAGACUAUGGAUUCUGUUUAAAGGAAAGCUCACAUGACAUAAUAGCAACAGUGACAAAUCGAACGAGAGAGAACAUAUUUGAGAGAGUUUAUCAAACAAGAGGAUGAGGUGGGUAGGAAGUUUAUGUAACCCAUGUGCCUAAUAGGGAGAUAUCGCUUUCAGAGACCUAUGUGGAGGAUAGGAGUGAGUUGUGUCUGGGUUAUUAUUGCUAGGCAGGAGGGAUAGCUCAGUGGUUUGAGCAUUGGCUUGCUAAACUCAGAGUUAUGAGUUCAAUCCUUGAGGAGACCAUUUGGGGAUUGGCUCCUGCUUUGAACAGGGGUUUGGACUAGAUGACCUGUUGAGGUCAAUUCUAUUAGCCAUCCAGAAGCCUCUGGAUUUUGGGUGGGGUAAUUUGGGGUAUGCUUCAACAGACUCCAUAAGGGUAGCUGCUUUACAAAGGGCCAUCUGUGAGUUGGGAGAAGCUGAGCCAAGGAGCAGAAAGCAGGCUGUUGUCCCUAACUCUGAAGCAUUUUGCAGCAGGUUAGUGAUAUUGUUAACCCUCAAACAGGGAAACAUGGGCAAUGUUAAUAAUAGCAAGGGGAAAUUAGAAGGGAAAAAUAAUUUAUUCUAUUUUAAUUGUAUGCUUUGAAUGUUGUUUUGAUUUUAGCCAAACUGUUCUAGUUAAAUUGUCUCAACUAGUGUGAUUCAUCAACUUUCCUUUAAAUGUAGUAAUGGGGAAAGAGUCAUUUAUAUUUUGUUAUUCUCAGAUUUGUAUUUUCUUGUAACAGGGUUUUUUUUUUUAAUCUACACUUAACUGAUUAAUCAGUUAGCUGACUGGCUAACAGUGAUUUCAGAAGAGGAAGGGUCUGCAUGGAUUCCAAUUGAAGAUUCCUACAAGCAAGUAGAGGGAAGAUGUUGUUUUUUGACUCCGCAGACUAGAUUUGGUGAUCAAAGACUCUAACUGAGAUUCAGGUGAACUCAACCUACGCUUUUGGGAACUCUGUUUCUUCUCACUGUUUCGGUGGAGACUGAACUGUUGAGAUUUUAUGUAGAUCUAUGUAGAUUAUAAAAUAACCAUGUUAUGUUAUAAAAAUUAAAUUAUUAUUUGUUUAUCAUAAGAUUUUAUAAAGUAUUUAAUUAAAUUCAUUUCUUUAGUUCCUUUUGGGAUUUGAAUGUGGUGAGGCUGACCCUGUGCAAUCCUUGCUGAAAAUCCUUAGAGACUGAAUUCUUGGUCUCCGGCUACUUUUCUAUGGGAAUUGGGAUUUUUUAGGCACUGGAGGAGGGCAGUGAAGUGAAUUCUAGCCCACCCAAAGGUUACAUUUACCCAUGUGCUUUACUCCCUAAGGGCUUGUUUACAUGGUAGAUCACUGUGCGGCAAUGUGAAUCUACAGUGCACUGGCUCACCGUGCAGUAAUGUUCUGUGUGGACACUGUUUUGAAAGACCAAGUGCAGCUUGACAUACAAUACUUUCAAGUAUUUUUCCAUAAGGUGGGUUGCAAAUGUUAUCAUGAACUUGUAAGUGCUUGUUAUAUGUCUGCAGGCUGGCAAAAAUCUAAAACAUUAAUAUUUUAGCAGGAGAAUGCUAUCCUCGUGCCCUGAUGACUUUCAUACCUCAGGAGUUUGGUCCUCCAUGAGAGCGUUCCUCCUAAGUGAUGGUGAGAUCCAGUCUCUGGUGCCCUUGAAGAAGACUUGGUUUUCAUUUUAAAAAUGAAAACCAUGUUUCUAGCCACUUCCCUGGGCUGCACUUCUCUAGGAUGAAGCUGGUGGUUUAGCAACCUGAAUGGAACUUGGAGAGAGGAGCACAGGUUGCAGGAGGGAAGAGUUUGGAGAAAGCACCAAGAAGUCACUCUGUGUGUACAUGGCUGGAAUGCUAACUGCAGUUGGGGCACCUCUGUAAGUUGUUCUCUUAAUAAAGAACCAGUUUAGUUUUAGAAACA
Molecule: long non-coding RNA, 2951 nt
Filed under: Chrysemys picta bellii (western painted turtle)
Lineage: Eukaryota; Metazoa; Chordata; Testudines; Emydidae
Description: lncRNA (ENSCPBG00000018550.1)
Source: RNAcentral